Molecule: long non-coding RNA, 663 nt
Organism: Hemiscyllium ocellatum (epaulette shark)
Lineage: Eukaryota; Metazoa; Chordata; Chondrichthyes; Orectolobiformes; Hemiscylliidae
Exons: 4
Source: RefSeq, a predicted model, not a curated record
GACAGUUUUCAAUACUGUCAUGGAGUCAUUUUGCUUACAUGAAUAAAUGGCCCACGUAAAAUAACGCCGAAAGGGCGGAGGAUUUGCAUUGCACUCAGCACAACAAGAUUAUCGACCUGUUUUGGACUUUCUGAAGAGCAGAAAAGCACGAUUUCAAACUCAAAGGUUGUUGAUCCAAUACUCAAAAACACGGCGAAGAUGAAGUGUUGAAGACUUGUGAAGAGGUGGUCGCUUCUUCGCCAGCACUGUUGAAUGUUUCAAAAUAAAUGCCUUGACAGCAAAGAAACCCUACAGAGUAAAGAGGGACCAUUUGGCCCUUUGAGUCUGUACUGACUCUCCAAAGAGCAUCCCAGCUUUCUCAUUCCAUAACCAUGCCUUCAAUAUGGUCAAUUCACCAAACCUGCAUAUCUUUGGACUUUGGGGGGAAAACAGAUUACCCACAGGAAACCGACACAGACACGGGGAGAAUGUGCAAACUCCACAAUGACAGACACUCAAGGCUGGAAUCGAGUGUGGGCCCCUGGUGCUGUGAGGCAGCAGUGCUAACCAUGGAACCACCAUGCCACCUCUAAAGAACAGAUCAGUACCUACCUAGGUUUGCUGGAAAGGAUAUGGUGCAGCAAAAGGGACUCCCCCUAUGUUUUCGGACUCCUGCAUGUGCCC